GCCGAAAUAUCUCAGUUAGGAGAGCGUUAGACUGAAUAGCUAAAGGUCCCAGGUUCGAUCCCGGGUUUCGGCA
This 73-nucleotide transfer RNA is filed under the name Cordylochernes scorpioides. Its description in RNAcentral is "tRNA-Phe". It matches the Rfam family "tRNA". From Rfam's summary of the family: Transfer RNA (tRNA) molecules are approximately 80 nucleotides in length. Their secondary structure includes four short double-helical elements and three loops (D, anti-codon, and T loops). Further hydrogen bonds mediate the characteristic L-shaped molecular structure. tRNAs have two regions of fundamental functional importance: the anti-codon, which is responsible for specific mRNA codon recognition, and the 3' end, to which the tRNAs corresponding amino acid is attached (by aminoacyl-tRNA synthetases). tRNAs cope with the degeneracy of the genetic code in two manners: having more than one tRNA (with a specific anti-codon) for a particular amino acid; and 'wobble' base-pairing, i.e. permitting non-standard base-pairing at the 3rd anti-codon position. Lineage: Eukaryota; Metazoa; Arthropoda; Arachnida; Pseudoscorpiones; Chernetidae. The record is from RNAcentral.